This 459-nucleotide ribosomal RNA is filed under the name uncultured bacterium. RNAcentral describes it as "partial 16S ribosomal RNA". It matches the Rfam family "Bacterial small subunit ribosomal RNA", at positions 338 to 795 of the family's 1533-position model. The record is from RNAcentral.
CCUACGGGAGGCAGCCGUGAGGAAUAUUGGUCAAUGGCCGAGAGGCUGAACCAGCCAAGUCGCGUGAGGGAAGACGGCCCUACGGGUUGUAAACCUCUUUUGUCGGGGCGCAAAGAGAGUCACGUGUGACUCAUUGAGAGUACCCGAAGAAAAAGCAUCGGCUAACUCCGUGCCAGCAGCCGCGGUAAUACGGAGGAUGCGAGCGUUAUCCGGAUUUAUUGGGUUUAAAGGGUGCGCAGGCGGAGGUGCAAGUCAGCGGUCAAAUUGCGGGGCUCAACCCCGUACUGCCGUUGAAACUGCAGCCCUUGAGUGCGCGAGAAGUAUGCGGAAUGCGUGGUGUAGCGGUGAAAUGCAUAGAUAUCACGCAGAACUCCGAUUGCGAAGGCAGCAUACCGGCGCGCAACUGACGCUCAUGCACGAAAGCGUGGGUAUCGAACAGGAUUAGAUACCCCAGUAGUC